RNAcentral lists this long non-coding RNA (725 nucleotides) under Homo sapiens (human). Its description in RNAcentral is "non-protein coding lnc-MSH2-1:2". Lineage: Eukaryota; Metazoa; Chordata; Mammalia; Primates; Hominidae. The record is from RNAcentral.
CAUGUUAGCCAGGAUGGUCUGGAUCUCCUGACCUCGUGAUCCGCCCGCCUGUGCCUCCCAAAGUGUUGGGAUUACAGGCGUGAGCCACUGUGCCCAGCCUCCAGCAUGAUUUUUUUAGGCCGUUCUUUUGUUUGAAAGAAUUCAACUAAGGAUCCACUCUGCCUGCCUGACCGGUUUCUUCCUUUCUUCUCUCUCAUCGGGUCCCGAGUUCCCAUGACUGCAGCUUCCAGAAGAGCAGAGCUUUGGUAUCCUACUCACAGCGCCAAAACUGCAGGGGCCAAGCCUCUUUUGGACUCCAGCUCUUGUUCUCUCGCUGAAUCCCACCGCCACCCCUUCAAGUCAUCGGCUGUGAUUCACCUGUGGGUUUCUGAAGGCUAGAAGCUUCCACAAUGAGCCAGGAAACAAGUUCUGAUUGGCUGGGAACAGACCUCUGCUCCAAGAUUCAGGGCUGGCAGUAUUCCUUCUGUUCUGGUGGCUCGAUCUUCAUUGCUUUCCUCUGGACUUAAACACCCUGUUGCCCAGGCUGGAGUGCAGUGAUGCAAUCAUAGCUCACAAUGGCCUCGAACUCCUGGGCUCAAGCCAUCCUCCCGUGUCAGACUCCCAAGUAGCUGGGAUUACAGAAACUCCUCCUACCCAUGGAAUCUGCCAGCAGUUGGAUUCUUGACUAUCUUUAGGACUUUUCCUAAUCUCACCUUCUCCAUCUGUGAAAUGGAAAUAAUCAAAGG